CUUGGAGACAGCGGCCCCGCCCACGCCCCCCGAGCCGCUCUGCGGGCCGGCUCCGCGACACGCGCUUCCCGCGGGGCCAAUCAGCGGCCGCGCCGCUGUCACGCGGCGGGCGCGGGAGAAGCUGCUGACUGCUGGUGUAUGGUGAGGAUGAUGAUCAGAGUGAAGAUGCAACAGGAGUGCUCGCACUAAACAGAUUCGUGCCAGCUGGUCAGCCUGGAGAUGGUCAAGUUUCAUAGGCAGUGUGGCAUUUCGUCACUUAAUGAUAGUGGGAUGAUGUGUGCAGGGACAAAAUAAACACAAAAAUGGGAUGCACGGGGGCAGCUUUUAUGGCUUGGAAGAUGGUAAAGAAAGGGCAGAAUGGUCAGUGGGAGGAGGUGCUGGAUGCCCAGAAUGAAUGACUGUUCCCGAGAAUCUCAGUCACUUCAGUAAAGGCUAAAAAUCUUACCAUUGCUCUAGUUUUCUAGCCUUCACCCUUGCUUGAUUGUGAUUCACCUGGGGGAGAUGACAACGUGGAAAAUUCAGCUGGUGUUAGACAUCUUCAUGAAAACAGCAGCUUUCCAGAGAAGAGCAGGAACCAUGCUGGGGCACUCAUGAAGGGACAGAACACUGGACCUGAGCUUGGCCAAGGUCGGUGGCAGCCCUGGGUGCAUUGGAGCCGGACCGGUAAGGAGCCAGGAGGGCACGGGGUAGGAUUUGAUGUACUGCUGGAAGAUUGUGAGAUAGAGCUAUGCUGCUUGCAGGCCAGUUGGGGUUUGAUGGGCUUUUUUUGUUUGUUCUUAAGGAAAUCAAAGUAUUUGAGUUUUAAGGCAGUAGUGCUUUGGUCUUGUAGUAGUAGAGAGUAUGAGGAGUGGCUGAUGGAACUGGAAUUGUUCAGUCUGGAGAAGAGGAGGCUCAGGGGAGACCUUAAUUCUCUCUACAACUACUUGAAAGGAAGUUGUGGUGAGGUGGGGGUCAGUCUCUUCUUCCAUGCAACUCGCGAUAGGACGAGAGGGAAUGGCCUCAAGUUGUGCCAGGGGAGGAUGCUAGGAAAAAUUUCUUCUCCAAAAGAGUGAUCAGGCACUGGAACAGGCUGCCCAGGGGUGUGGUAGAGUCACCAUCCCUGGAGGUGUUCAAGAAAUGUUUAGAUGUUGUACUGAAGGACAUGAUUUAGUGGGGAAAUGUUGGUGGUUGGUGGGCACUUGGACUGGAAGAUCUUGGAGGUCUUUUCCAAUCUUGGUCAUUCUAUGAUUCUGUGAUUCUCUGAGCCAGCUGAGUGCUAUGCUUUAAGCCUUACUGAAGUCAAGGAGCUAUGUAGAAAGGUGAGAUAGCAGCUCUCCACAGACCUCAUCGUAGGACCAGAGCCAAGAUCUGCAAUGAUGAAUGCUGGUAAUUGGUGCUUGCCAUCUUGAAUCGUAGAAUCAUAGAAUGGCCUGGGUUGAAAAGGACGUGAAAGAUCAUCUAGUUUCAAUCCCCCUGCUGAGUACAGGGUCGCCAACCACUAGACCAGGCUGCCCAGAGCCAUG
This is a long non-coding RNA of Numida meleagris (helmeted guineafowl), 1502 nucleotides long. RefSeq lists it as uncharacterized. The transcript is spliced from 3 exons. The record is from RefSeq and is a predicted model, not a curated record. NCBI's taxonomy places the organism in Eukaryota, Metazoa, Chordata, Aves, Galliformes, Numididae.